Molecule: long non-coding RNA, 674 nt
Organism: Cyprinus carpio carpio
Lineage: Eukaryota; Metazoa; Chordata; Actinopteri; Cypriniformes; Cyprinidae
Source: Ensembl
GUAUGGCAACCAAAAUCCAAUGUCCACAAGACGUCAUAAUGGUAACGUCCAAUCAACGUCAAAUUAUAACGUCAUUUGACUUUGAUCUUUAGUUUGUUUUUAGGUUGUGACAUUAACUAACCUAAACCCAACGUCGAGGCAACGUCUCAGGCCAACGUCACAUUGACAUCAAAUACUGAUGUUUAGUCGUCAGGUAUGGCAACCAAAAUCCAACAUCUUGUAGACGUCAUUAUGGUAACGUCCAAUCAACGUCAAGUUAUAACAUCAUUUGAUGUUGAUCUGUAGUUAGUUUUAGGUUGUGGCAUUAACUAACCAAAAUCCAACAUCAAGACAACGUCUCAAGCCAAUGUCAGAUUGACAUCAAAAACUGAUACUUAGUCGUCAGGUAUGGCAACCAAAAUCCAAUGUCUUCAAGACGUCAUAAUGGUAACGUCCAAUCAACGUCCAAUUAUAACAUCAUUUGACUUUGAUCUUUAGUUUGUUUUUAGGUUGUGACAUUAACUAACCUAAACCCAACGUCGAGCCAACGUCUCAGGCCAACAUCACAUUGACAUCAAAUACUGAUGUUUAGUCGUCAGGUAUGGCAACCAAAAUCCAAUGUCUUCAAGACGUCAUAAUGGUAACGUCCAAUCAACGUCAAAUUAUAACGUCAUUUGACUUUAAUCUUUAGUUUG